CCCGUCAGGCGCGGAGCCCGGCACCGCUCCGCGCUUCGGACGUUCUCCUGUUGCUACUCUGGCCUCUCUCCUCCCUCUUUGGCCGCGCUGGCACGAAGCCCGAGGCUCCGAGGCUGAGGUGCGGGUUUCCCGCCGCCCGCUCCCCUCAGCUCCGCUUCCGGGUGCCGGCCAGGACUCCAGCCAGAAGCGGUGGAUUUAGAAAGCUGGGAUAACUGGUAAAUAUGGCAACCUACGUCACUGUUAUGCUUUAAACUGUCGUUAUGCUUUAAAGAUGUCGAUAUGAGGCAGGCACACAGACAGCUCUUUUUGAGACUUCAUAAAAUCUGUGUAAUCCGUUCAGAUUCUGAGGUAAUGAUUUGAAAAAGUACUUUUGAAGGACUGGCAAGCGUCCCUUUGCACACACAAAGUAAUAAAUCCACCAGGAACUGCUUCCUUUCUCCUGUUACCUAUCUCUAUGUUCCAUGCAAGACCCUCCUUCAGCUUUCCCUGGCAAACCUCCACACGAUGCUGUCUGUGGAAACUGUUAAAAACACGUACACCUUUGUGGUGAUGUUCUGGAUAUUUUAGUUUGAAGGCUAUAUAAGGCCUGUUUUGACAAAGGCCUCUCUUUGCCUAUGGCUCUGCACUUGAUAAAACACAAUGCAAUAUGGAGAGCAGUGUUGUCCAUCCAGCCUUGUCGCCUGUGUGGUUACAGCUUGUUCUGUUUCUGUUAAAUGCAUUAUUGCUCAAGUGCGGUUUCCCAGCCUCCGCUAAAUAUAAACUAGCAGGUCCAUUGGGAAAAGUGGUGAGGGAAACAGACUGCAGUGGUGAGCCUCGUUCCCCCCAGGAAAGGCCCCAAAAUCCUUCCGUUUCCUUCUCUGUUGCUUGACCACCUCCUUCUUCUCCGGCACAGCUGGUCUCUGGUGGUGAUACUUGGCACUCUGCCUUUUGGCACAAAAGACUGGGAGAAGGUGGUUGUUUUCUGAGUCCGUGGGCAUCCAUAAGCAGUAUCACCUGAACUGUGCCAUCAUGAGAAGAAUGGACCUACAGGAACAUAGCAAGGUUCUUCACAACCAGAAUAUGUUGCAUUGGGUGACAGGUAUAAAUGUGAGCUUGGCAGCUCUCGUGAGGGUAUCUGAAUGAUGGGACUAUAAGAAGGAAGAGACAAGCAUGAUGGGUGUAACAUAAAAGGCCCUCUGGCCAUAUUUUAUCAUGCUCCACACUUUGCUUGCCUUAGCUGGUGGGGUUUGCUUUAAGGGAAUUGCUUUAAGAGAGAGGGAAGAGUUUAAUUCUUUCCCUGCUAGGCACCUGUGAUGCAAUGCUGUAUCUAAAAGCCCCAUACCAAAACUUAUUUUUCUAUAUAAAAGCGUAAGGCAUCGCCACAGAAAAGAUUCUUCUUGACGUCAGGAUUUGACAAAGACAAGGAACAGAGGCUUCAAAAGGAACAUGAAAUCAUCUUGACAUCCUGAAAAUGUAUCGACAUCUUAAAAAUCACAUUAGCCACUUGCAAGGACCUGUUUCCCAGAGUCUGAGGCUUACAGAGAGCUUCUUCCUCCACCGUGGAGAUAGUGUGAGAGCCAGUGUGCCACCAGCAUCAGAAAGGUGGAGAGGUUUAGCAGGAAAACAUGAACAAGAAGAUAUGCAAGGUUUAUUUUUAUCAACACUGUGCACAUAUCCUGGAGAGUGGAGGAGCCACUGUAUCCUUGUUGGAAUCUCUUAUCCUAAUCCCAGCAACUGUGCUUUUGUGCAGCAGAUGGAGAAGGAAAACUGUUCCAACCACACCUAUACUAGUUCUGGAAAAUACUCUGGAUCACUGCUGAAGUAGAGCAAACUCCAGGGCCACCAAGGGGUAAGACCCUGUUCUACUUUGGAGCAUUUGUUCAGUGUGGAGCAAAAGGACACACAUCACCACUUUCCACUGUGGCUGAAGGAAUUGAAGACACUUGGUAACAGUACUGGGCUCAGCAGCAGAAGAAAAAGCUUUAAAAUAAAAAAAUCACGUGUCAUCCCCCUGGUUUUGACUGUGGAACGUGUUAGUCUGGAGUUAAAGCAAUAACCUGUUUCAGAAUUCAGUGUCCAAACAUCAGCUAACUGGAAUUUCUGGGCUUCUUCCCAUGUCAAAUAGCAUGCAAGUGAAAUGCCUGUAUUUUAUAUAGACUACGUUUUAAAUGCAAGCCUGUAUACAGAAUGCUCUCAUUUACAAAAACCUAAGUCAGCUAUCCUUCUGCUAUGCAUUAAUUCCAGAGAAAGCUGGAAAUCCUAUGGAAAGUUUGAUGUAAUUACAUCUGACUGUAAAUCUUUGACUGUUUUAAUAUACUCAGGUGACCUAAAUAGCAUUACGCAGAAAAGAACUUUAAUUUAAAGUAAUUAAAAAAAGAGUAAUUGUCUCAAGAUCAGUUUCUUAGAGAAAUUACUGCUCAGAAAAGUCCUGUAUGCCUUGUUCUACAGCCAUAUUCUUUGUAUUUCCACAUUGUAAAUACUCCAUGGUAAAUUGCAAUGGAAGCUCAGCUUAGCUUAACUUCUGGCUCUGUGGUACUGCUUCUUGGUUGAGAAAAUUGAUCUGACUCAGUUUUUGGCAUCUAUGCUUUACUUUUACAGCUGGUUCGUAUGUGUCCUUCUAGUUUAAUGGUGACUUUUCUUCAGUAUGAAUUUCUGUCACACUCAAACAGCUGAUUAAGAGCUGCUGGGGCUGUGCUGCCAAUUGUCCUUUAAAAUGUCUGAGCCAGUUUUUCAAGAGGUUUAAAUGAAGGUGAUGGGAAAACCUGUUAGCAAUUCAAGGGAGGUUUGCUUGAAUUGAAUUGCUUCUUUGAUCUGGUGGUGUGCCAAGCCAGUUGUCUGAGCAGUCUGAGACUGCCCUUCCUAGAGUGGCUGUUCAGCUGGCUUCACAUACAUUAGAUAGAUCUCAUUCAAGUGCUGGAUUUAUUACACAGUGGUGCAGGUCAGCCACAUUGUUCAUGUGCAAUAGGUGCCUAUUCCUUUGCUUUUUUCUCAGGGCUUCUGGAAACAAGAGCAGCUAGGAGUUAGUAAUAGGCUGAAUAGCCAGUCGUACUGAUGUGGCUUGAAAACAGCCAUUUGGUGUAUUAUGGUGGCCUAAGUAAAUCUACACAUCAGUUUGUAGGUUUGCCUGUGCAGAAACACGUGUGGGACCUGCUUUUUAAAGAUCAUUCUCUGCUUCAGAUUUUUCCUGCUGCUCUAGAACUGACAGUGGAUGAAAACAUAUUUAGUUGUAAUUAUUAAAGAAACACAGUGGAAGAAAGAAUAAUUCUCAUUGUCACUGGAUGGAACCAGCUCCCAUGGUGCAAGGACCAAGGUACAAGGAACAAAGAGCUGAAUUCAGAGAGCAGCUGAGUAAGGGAAGUGGAAGUGGAGCCUUGUGGGGAGAAAUGGCAGGAGCUACUGUACCUGAGAGAGAUAUGUUUUAUAUCUUGUUAUUUUAUUCAUAGCUUCAUGACUCUGCCAUCUCAGAUGGAGUUUUGUUCAUAGAAGUCUUCAGGUUGUCUGGAAUCUCCUGUGACAGUCUCAGGGCAGAAUUAAAAAUGCAGAUAUGCUUCAGGCAAGAGCUGCAUCCAUCCUGAUCUGUCCUGAAGCUGAUGAUAUGAUGGAGGAGCAAUGGCACUCUGAAAAGAGCAAGGUUCAGUGAAAUGGCUGUGCAGUGCUGUAGCUGUGGAGACAGGAGCAGCAAGGUUUCAGCAGAGGUAAUAACCAGGAAUCCUGUGAAGAUGUAUACCACGUCACCAUGCUACUUGAUAUCCUGAAUACAGAAAGCCAUGACAGAGGGACAUGCAUGUACCUCACGACUGAAGAACAGGAAGGAGGUGCGAAACAGGGAGGUGGCUGAUCUCCAUUUUCCCAUAAUCAAGGAUCUCUAAGUGCCUUGGAGAGCAGAUGCUGAUGAGUAAUAACAGAGCUUGGUAAAAAAAAUCUACAUCCUUUUCUUGAUUACCUUCAUCUGAUGAUGUGAAAUGCUAGUCUUAACGAGGGGUACAGAAAUAUUUAGUGGUAUGGAAAUUUCAUGUAGAGUGUUGGGCGAAUCAAGAAACUUGUUCAUGUUCAUUGGUAAAUGUUUUCAGUUGACUUAAUCUUGCUGUAUCCCAGGUCCUAAUCAGCAUCUGUGCUUUGACCCAAAGCUCACAUUAUUUCUUUUCUCUGACCAUUUUGAAGGAGUUUUGUCUAAGAAGCUGUAAUUCCAGUGAGGAAAAAUGACUUUGAUGUGUUUCAAGAUAUUUGGUUCAAAAUAAAAGCAGAUCUGAGCUCUCAUUUCAAAAUUCCCAAACAGAUUUUGAAUACUUGUAUUUGAAUCUGGCUCUUAAUAUACACUGGAGGAUGUUUCAAAAGGGAAACUUUUGUCAAUGUGAAAACAGUAGAAGCUCAGCUACCCA
Long non-coding RNA from Pezoporus flaviventris, 4358 nucleotides. RefSeq lists it as uncharacterized. NCBI's taxonomy places the organism in Eukaryota, Metazoa, Chordata, Aves, Psittaciformes, Psittacidae. The record is from RefSeq and is a predicted model, not a curated record. The transcript has 5 exons.